GGUCCGAGCGCGGAUCUUGCGUAGCGCGCCACUAGUCUGCGAUCGCACGCAAAGUGGCGUGGCCACGCACACGUUUGCCGAAGUUUCGAGCGUGAUUUUGGGGAAUUCGCAGGGAGAAAAGCGGAGAAGCCAUACCUAUCACCGGGUGUCCUCGUAAUACAUAAAUUAACAUUCGUUGCAUUUCUCAAUUCGAACGCUCGACAAAGUCACUGCGAUAGAAAGACUGGGUCCUAUCGCCUAUCGCCGUUAGUUCGCGUUUAAUAACUCGAUCAUUUAGUGUGCCGCCCGUACCAGCCAGAAGAUGCCACAACCGGCCCACGAAACGAAGAACAUUCUGAUGACGUACUUGAUACUCAUUCUCCUACUAAUCUCGCUCUGGUUACUAUACUCGGGGAUGUUUUAUUAAGCACGAUACAUUCCUCAUCAUGGGCUGAAGAACAAUGAGAACACGUGUCGCAGGGCAGAUGCAUGCGGAGGACUCAGGAUUGCUAUGGACACACCUCAUUCGAAGCCCACCGGCUCUCUCUCUCUCUCUUUCUCUCUCUCUCUCUCUCUCUCUCGCGCCAUCAUUUGUUCUCGUACUACGUUCUACAAUAUAUUUAGGUGCCUUGAAGAUAAUCGCGCGCAAAUCGCUUUCUCAUUGUUCCGCAAUCGAUCGAUCGGGACCGUUUCCGCCAUCGGUUUUUCCAUCGUUUUCCUCGAAAGUUCAGAAAGAUUCCGGGGGCGGAAACGUGGCGGGAGUUAGGAAGGAGCAGCAGCGAGGGGAUGAAGCGCGAAAAUUUCCUCACACCCUCGUCGCUUGAUCGACUUCUCCGAACGCUCCGUCGCGGAAAUCGGCUUCCUCAUUGAAAAUAAUUCUCGAAUUACAUUACGCUAAUUAUAUUGUCUUAGACGAGAAGAAACGCUGCGGCGACGGCGGCAGUCGGACACGAAAUGAUGUAUUUAUUGUGUCCGCCGAUUUGCAAACGCGUGUCGUCGUCGUCAUCGUCAACGGAAUCUGUCCUCGUUCGAAAUCGUCGAUCGUCAAUAAAUAACGUCUAAGAUCAGCUCCGAAAGCGUGGCGCGCUCGUCGUAUCGCGGGUCGCUGUUUUAUUUUCUCCUCUCUCUCUCUCUCUCUCUCUCGAUCAUAUUUUAUUAUUGUAUUGUAUCGCACACAUGAAGAAAAAUAAUUCUGCUGAUAAUUUUGCGGCGAAACCAUCGUUGUUACCGCGUUACCGUUGGGACCGUAGCGAGAAAAUUUAGCCGGCAAAUUGGCGAAUUAUUUGUAACUGGAGGAAAAAAACAGUCUCGUCGCCAGGAUAGAAAGAAGAAAAUCUGCUAAGAUUCGAAUUUGUCCUUAGGAUACGUUGACUUGGAACGAAAUAGCGCUUUCCCGCGUUUACUGAUUUCUAUCUUACAGCAAAAUAAUUCGCAUAUUCAGCAAAACGAUGGCAGUGAGCGGCGAAUCGGUAUUCUUAAGGAGUCGUCUCGCCGUUCACGCAGUAUCCUGACAGGAUCUCGCUACGACAAAUUCACGUCGGAAAUUUGCCGCGCCGGCGAAUUAUUUUUCCCUCGCGGAUUUGCUCGCAGGCUAAAUCUCUCUUCGAUGAUAGCGCAGACGACGAAAUAAAUCUCUCUUCGUUCGGAA
This is a long non-coding RNA of Dinoponera quadriceps, 1627 nucleotides long. RefSeq lists it as uncharacterized. The record is from RefSeq and is a predicted model, not a curated record. The transcript has 3 exons. NCBI's taxonomy places the organism in Eukaryota, Metazoa, Arthropoda, Insecta, Hymenoptera, Formicidae.